This 348-nucleotide ribosomal RNA is filed under the name uncultured bacterium. Its description in RNAcentral is "bacterial SSU rRNA". It matches the Rfam family "Bacterial small subunit ribosomal RNA", at positions 30 to 378 of the family's 1533-position model. The record is from RNAcentral.
AUUGAACGCUGGCGGCAUGCCUUACACAUGCAAGUCGAACGGCAGCACGGGAGCAAUCCUGGUGGCGAGUGGCGAACGGGUGAGUAAUAUAUCGGAACGUGCCCAGUCGUGGGGGAUAACGUAGCGAAAGCUACGCUAAUACCGCAUACGAUCUAUGGAUGAAAGCGGGGGAUCGCAAGACCUCGCGCGAUUGGAGCGGCCGAUAUCAGAUUAGGUAGUUGGUGAGGUAAAGGCUCGCCAAGCCGACGAUCUGUAGCUGGUCUGAGAGGACGACCAGCCACACUGGGACUGAGACACGGCCCAGACUCCUACGGGAGGCAGCAGUGGGGAUUUUGGACAAGUGGGCGG